RNAcentral lists this ribosomal RNA (119 nucleotides) under Pteropus alecto (black flying fox). Lineage: Eukaryota; Metazoa; Chordata; Mammalia; Chiroptera; Pteropodidae. The record is from RNAcentral.
GUCUAUGGCCAUGCUACAAUGAACAAGCCCGAUCCCGUCUGAUCUCAGAAGCUAAGCAGGGUCAGGCCUGGUAAGUACUUGGAUGGGAAACCACCUAGGAAGACCAGGUGCUGUAGGCG